Molecule: ribosomal RNA, 165 nt
Filed under: Labramia mayottensis
Lineage: Eukaryota; Viridiplantae; Streptophyta; Magnoliopsida; Ericales; Sapotaceae
Description: 5.8S ribosomal RNA
Rfam family: 5.8S ribosomal RNA
About the family: 5.8S ribosomal RNA (5.8S rRNA) is a component of the large subunit of the eukaryotic ribosome. It is transcribed by RNA polymerase I as part of the 45S precursor that also contains 18S and 28S rRNA.
Source: RNAcentral
AUAACGACUCUCGGCAACGGAUAUCUCGGCUCUCGCAUCGAUGAAGAACGUAGCGAAAUGCGAUACUUGGUGUGAAUUGCAGAAUCCCGUGAACCAUCGAGUCUUUGAACGCAAGUUGCGCCCGAAGCCAUUAGGUCGAGGGCACGCCUGCCUGGGCGYCUCGCA